RNAcentral lists this ribosomal RNA (449 nucleotides) under uncultured bacterium. Its description in RNAcentral is "partial 16S ribosomal RNA". It matches the Rfam family "Bacterial small subunit ribosomal RNA", at positions 29 to 523 of the family's 1533-position model. The record is from RNAcentral.
AGUGAACGCUGGCGGCAGGCCUAACACAUGCAAGUCGAACGAAGCCUUCGGGCUUAGUGGCGCACGGGUGCGUAACGCGUGGGAAUCUGCCCUUGGGUUCGGAAUAACAGUUAGAAAUGACUGCUAAUACCGGAUGAUGUCUUCGGACCAAAGAUUUAUCGCCCAAGGAUGAGCCCGCGUAGGAUUAGGUAGUUGGUGGGGUAAUGGCCCACCAAGCCGACGAUCCUUAGCUGGUCUGAGAGGAUGAUCAGCCACACUGGGACUGAGACACGGCCCAGACUCCUACGGGAGGCAGCAGUGGGGAAUAUUAGACAAUGGGCGAAAGCCUGAUCCAGCAAUGCCGCGUGAGUGAUGAAGGCCUUCGGGUUGUAAAGCUCUUUUACCAGGGAUGAUAAUGACAGUACCUGGAGAAUAAGCUCCGGCUAACUCCGUGCCAGCCGCCGCAGUAA